AGCGAACGCUGGCGGCAGGCCUAACACAUGCAAGUCGAACGCGUGUAGCAAUACACGAGUGGCAGACGGGUGAGUAACACGUGGGAACGUGCCCUUCGGUUCGGAAUAACUCAGGGAAACUUGAGCUAAUACCGGAUACGCCCUUACGGGGAAAGAUUUAUCGCCGAAGGAUCGGCCCGCGUCUGAUUAGCUAGUUGGUGAGGUAACGGCUCACCAAGGCGACGAUCAGUAGCUGGUCUGAGAGGAUGAUCAGCCACACUGGGACUGAGACACGGCCCAGACUCCUACGGGAGGCAGCAGUGGGAAUAUUGGACAAUGGGGGAAACCCUGAUCCAGCCAUGCCGCGUGAGUGAUGAAGGCCCUAGGGUUG
This 370-nucleotide ribosomal RNA is filed under the name uncultured bacterium. RNAcentral's name for it is "bacterial SSU rRNA". It matches the Rfam family "Bacterial small subunit ribosomal RNA", at positions 29 to 425 of the family's 1533-position model. The record is from RNAcentral.